GGGCCGGUGGUCUAGCCUGGUAGGACACUGCCCUGACGCGGCAGAGGUCGAGGGUUCAAGUCCCUCCCGGCCCA
RNAcentral lists this transfer RNA (74 nucleotides) under archaeon HR01. It matches the Rfam family "tRNA". Rfam says of the family: Transfer RNA (tRNA) molecules are approximately 80 nucleotides in length. The record is from Rfam by way of RNAcentral.